AACGAACGCUGGCGGCAGGCCUAACACAUGCAAGUCGAGCGAGGACUUCGGUCCUAGCGGCGGACGGGUGAGUAACGCGUGGGAACGUGCCCUUUGGUACGGAAUAGCCCCGGGAAACUGGGAGUAAUACCGUAUGGUGUCUUCGGACUAAAGAUUUAUCGCCAAAGGAUCGGCCCGCGUUGGAUUAGGUAGUUGGUGGGGUAAUGGCCUACCAAGCCAACGAUCCAUAGCUGGUUUGAGAGGAUGAUCAGCCACACUGGGACUGAGACACGGCCCAGACUCCUACGGGAGGCAGCAGUGGGGAAUCUUAGACAAUGGGGGCAACCCUGAUCUAGCCAUGCCGCGUGAGUGAUGAAGGCCCUAGGGUUGUAAAGCUCUUUCAGCUGGGAAGAUAAUGACGGUACCAGCAGAAGAAGCCCCGGCUAACUCCGUG
This 433-nucleotide ribosomal RNA is filed under the name uncultured bacterium. Its description in RNAcentral is "bacterial SSU rRNA". It matches the Rfam family "Bacterial small subunit ribosomal RNA", at positions 29 to 507 of the family's 1533-position model. The record is from RNAcentral.